RNAcentral lists this long non-coding RNA (957 nucleotides) under Calidris pugnax (ruff). RNAcentral's name for it is "lncRNA (ENSCPUG00000012300.1)". Lineage: Eukaryota; Metazoa; Chordata; Aves; Charadriiformes; Scolopacidae. The record is from RNAcentral.
AUGGUUUUUAUAGCACCUCUUCGCCAGAUGUCAUCGGGGAGUGUUCCUGGCUCUUCUGGAGAGACCAUGAUGUACUAUCUCCUUGCUGGUGUUGCUGCUUUUGGUGGUUUAUUUUAUGCCUACAGAGUAGUCAGUUCAUCCCGCAGCAAAUAUAUUGAACAUAUGAAUAUUCUUCACGAGAGAGCUGAGGGGCGGAGGUCACGCAGGGGUGAUGAAGAAGAGACGGCUGAAGUCCCUGAAGCAGAGACAGCCACGGAAGAGGCUGCUGCAGCAGCUGCUGCUGGACCUGCAGCACAGGAUGAGAGUGCUGGGGUGUCCCCAGAAACUGGAGGGGAGACUGACUUACCGGCUCCAGAUGCAUCCCCUGCUGUGGAGGAAGCACAGCAGGAAGCUGCUGCUAAUUUGGAAGUUGCUGCUAAUUCAGAAGCUGCUGCAGUGCAAGAAACUGUGAGUGAAGUCUUGGAUGUUGCAGCUUCUCCCCACGAGGAAAGCUUAGACAGUGUCAAGGAAGGAGUAUCCUCAGAAGCUCAAGAGAUUUCCGAGACAUCCUCGAGGAGCCAGGACGUUGACGCUGAGGAGUCGGGACAACCUUCGGAAGUUUCUGUGGAGGAGAAGACACCUGAAGAAGUUGCUAAGGAAUCCUAAAGCAAGCAGUGCUGAAGCCUUUGAAAAGUUUAAUGGGAAUAUUCGUGGCAAUCAACCAGCUGACUCCUGUGUGAAAGAAACCUCAUACUCUUCCUUGGAGACCUAAAAGAAUUGUGCAGUUUGUCACACCGCACGCUGCUCCUUAGGACCAGUAUUCAUUGCUGCAACUGACAACCUAAUACCAUUUAAGUUGGUUAGAGAGACGCUUCUGUGAUUAACAUCUCUGCUUUAGGAAGUAGCAGCCAGUAAUAACUGUCAAAGCACGACCCGGCAUGUAAUAAAUAGACGUGCUGAGAGAAGCUGUAGACUUAA